AUUGAACGCUGGCGGCAGGCCUAACACAUGCAAGUCGAGCGGUAGAGAGGUGCUUGCAUCUCUUGAGAGCGGCGGACGGGUGAGUAAUGCCUAGGAAUCUGCCUAGUGGUGGGGGAUAACGUUCGGAAACGGACGCUAAUACCGCAUACGUCCUACGGGAGAAAGCGGGGGAUCUUCGGACCUCGCGCCAUUAGAUGAGCCUAGGUCGGAUUAGCUAGUUGGUGAGGUAAUGGCUCACCAAGGCGACGAUCCGUAACUGGUCUGAGAGGAUGAUCAGUCACACUGGAACUGAGACACGGUCCAGACUCCUACGGGAGGCAGCAGUGGGGAAUAUUGGACAAUGGGCG
This 347-nucleotide ribosomal RNA is filed under the name uncultured bacterium. RNAcentral describes it as "bacterial SSU rRNA". It matches the Rfam family "Bacterial small subunit ribosomal RNA", at positions 30 to 377 of the family's 1533-position model. The record is from RNAcentral.